GAUGAACGCUGGCGGCGUGCCUAAUACAUGCAAGUCGAGCGAACGGACGAGAAGCUUGCUUCUCUGAUGUUAGCGGCGGACGGGUGAGUAACACGUGGAUAACCUACCUAUAAGACUGGGAUAACUUCGGGAAACCGGAGCUAAUACCGGAUAAUAUUUUGAACCGCAUGGUUUAAAAGUGAAAGACGGUCUUGCUGUCAUUUAUAGAUGGAUCCGCGCUGCAUUAGCUAGUUGGUAAGGUAACGGCUUACCAAGGCAACGAUGCAUAGCCGACCGGAGAGGUGGAUCGGCCACACGGGAACGGAGCCACGCUCCAGCCUCCUACGGGAGGCAGCAGUAGGGAAUCUUCCGCAAUGGGCGAAAGCCUGACGGAGCAACGCCGCGUGAGUGAUGAAGGUCUUCGGAUCGUAAGACUCUGUUAGUAGGGAAGAACAUAUGUGUAAGUAACUGUGCACAUCUUGACGGUACCUAAUCAGAAAGCCCCGGCUAACUACGUG
This 497-nucleotide ribosomal RNA is filed under the name uncultured bacterium. RNAcentral's name for it is "partial 16S ribosomal RNA". It matches the Rfam family "Bacterial small subunit ribosomal RNA", at positions 28 to 507 of the family's 1533-position model. The record is from RNAcentral.